This is a transfer RNA of Camelus ferus (Wild Bactrian camel), 72 nucleotides long. It matches the Rfam family "tRNA". From Rfam's summary of the family: Transfer RNA (tRNA) molecules are approximately 80 nucleotides in length. Their secondary structure includes four short double-helical elements and three loops (D, anti-codon, and T loops). The record is from Rfam. Lineage: Eukaryota; Metazoa; Chordata; Mammalia; Artiodactyla; Camelidae.
GAGGGUAUAGCUCAGUGGUAGAGCGCGUACUUAGCAUGCACGAGGUCCUGGGUUCAAUCCCCAGUACCUCCA